AAGGAGUCUAACAUAUCUGCGAGUAUGUGGGUCUAAAACCCGAGUGCGCAAUGAAAGUGAACGUAUGAGCAACGCGCAAGCUUCAGCUUCGACCGAUCUGGAUCUUUAGUGAUGGAUUUGAGUAAGAGCAUAUAUGUUGGGACCCGAAAGAUGGUGAACUAUGCCUGAAUAGGGCGAAGCCAGGGGAAACUCUGGUGGAGGCUCGUAGCGAUUCUGACGUGCAAAUCGAUCGUCAAAUUUGGGUAUAGGGGCGAAAGACUAAUCGAACCAUCUAGUAGCUGGUUCCUGC
Molecule: unclassified non-coding RNA, 289 nt
Filed under: uncultured fungus
Lineage: Eukaryota; Fungi
Description: partial contains 5.8S rRNA, ITS2 and 28S rRNA
Rfam family: Eukaryotic large subunit ribosomal RNA
Source: RNAcentral